RNAcentral lists this non-coding RNA (27 nucleotides) under Mus musculus (house mouse). Lineage: Eukaryota; Metazoa; Chordata; Mammalia; Rodentia; Muridae. The record is from RNAcentral.
UGAGAGCAGCACUAACAGUAAGGCAAG